ACAGAGCAUGAAUGAGCCUAUUCAGAGAGAGCUUUUGUGUUCCUCCUUAUUUCUGAGGAUCCCAAGUGGCAACCUGUCACCACUCGGUGUGCCUGCAAUCCUAUGCUUAAGGGGAUGACUGUCAGCAGAUUCUCCAUAACCUCUUCACUACUGAAGAAAGGGAACAUAUUCUCACGAAGGCAACUGAAGCACUCGCCAGAAUAGCUUCAAUGGCUGGUGACCAGAUGACAGAGGCAACUGACCAUGGUCUGCCAAGAAGAAGAACCCAACAGGACUGCAACACAGAGAGAGAAACCCCACUGAAAUGAGUACCAAAGAAGAAAAAGUUAUCAACCCCUGAAGACAGAGAAGAGAGGAGAGCUGAUGGGAGGAAAGGAACGCUGGCCUAGGAGCAUGAAACAAGACACAACCAGAGGACAUGGAGUCACCAAGUAUUGGUGAAAGCCUUUGGGAAAGCACGAAGCUGACAUCCUGAUCCCAGGACCCUUUUCUGCUCUUCUCUUAUGGUCAGCAGUGAUGUAGACCAGAAGCAGGACAUACUUCUUGCUCAUCUGAAAAAGCAACAGUGAGUCACUCAAUAUACACAGUACGUAAGGAGAACUGAAGCAUGUACUGAGCUGGAUUACAAGUCACUCUGCAUCCUGUCUCUUUCCUGACCCCAGGGCAUUUGCAGCUAGAUUACUGCACCCUCUAGGCAUGGCUUUUGACAGAGCAGCUCCCCCCAAAUACCUCUAGUUCUAAAACUGAGGAGCCCCUAAUGAGAAGGCUGCUUUGCUGUCCACUACAACAGCUGUGAAGCUGCUAGUUAGCAAAACCUCCCUUCAUACAAUCUCAGCCUCAUUCUUCCUUUUUCUUUGUUUUAUUUUGGGGGGAGUUUAUUAUAUAUAUAUAUGCUUGCAUGUGGGUAGAUGCUCUUAAUGUGUGUAUGUGUAUGCACUUGUGUGCAUAAUUCUGUAUACUGGCCAGAAUUUAAUGCCAGGUGCCUUCCUCCAUUGUUCUCUACUUUAUAUAUUGAGGCAGGGCUUCUCACAUAAACCCAGAGCUGGCUAAUUUAGGUCCUAUAGCUAAUCAGGGCAUUGCUCUGGGCAUCUCUUGUCUCUUCCUCCAGAGCGCUGGGAUUACAGGUGGGCCACCACACAUGUCUAACAUUUACGUGAAUGCUGGGGAUUUAAACUCUAAUUCUUACACUUCUAGGACAAGUAACUCACUCAUGAGUCAUUUCUGAAAUGAGCUAAAAUCAUUUUUAAGAAUAAAAUUGAUUAUUUAUUUAGGAUAGCAACAUAAAUUACUAACAUUUAUAAUUUUAGAAAGUGGGUAAAUACAAAAGGCUUCACAAAAGCCUGUAGACAAUCACAUCUGUGUGAACAUUAGAAUCAACUAACUGCCCAAUUCAGUAAUAUUUUACUACAUUCUAAAUUCUUUUAUUUUUGAUAUUCUAAUAUAAUUACAUCAUCCCCCUUUCCUUUCCUCCCUCCAUACAUUCUCAUAUACCCCACUGCUUGCUC
This is a long non-coding RNA of Peromyscus californicus insignis, 1505 nucleotides long. RefSeq lists it as uncharacterized. Lineage: Eukaryota; Metazoa; Chordata; Mammalia; Rodentia; Cricetidae. The transcript is spliced from 3 exons. The record is from RefSeq and is a predicted model, not a curated record.